RNAcentral lists this ribosomal RNA (119 nucleotides) under Pteropus vampyrus (large flying fox). The record is from RNAcentral. Lineage: Eukaryota; Metazoa; Chordata; Mammalia; Chiroptera; Pteropodidae.
GUCUGCAGCCGCGCCACCCUGAACAAGCCCCAUCCCGUCUGAGCUCGGAAGCUAAGCAGGGUCGGGGCCGGUUAGUACUUGGAUGGGAGACCGCCUGGGAACAUCAGGUGCUGUAGGCG